AUGGCCCCGCCGCGACUUAAGUUCUUUAUGUGGCUCGCUGUCCAUGGCCGCUGCCUGACCGUCGACAACCUCGAGCGUCGAGAAACUUGCAUCCAUCUGUUCGUGCAUUGCAACUUUCGAGAGGUUUGGACGCGCUUCAGAGCCUGGGCGGGAGCUUCUUUCCCGGUCCCUCAUGGCGACGACAAGAGCAUGGAGGACUGGUGGCUGUGCGCACAGAAAGCAGCUCCGAAACAGCUGAGGAGGGACUUUGAUGCGGUGGCGAUCAUGGUUCACUGGUGCAUUUGGAAGGAGUGCAAUGCUCGAAUUUUCGAGGCAUUGCCAUGGACCCAGCUGGAGUGGUGA
This 342-nucleotide ribosomal RNA is filed under the name Triticum aestivum (bread wheat). RNAcentral describes it as "partial small subunit ribosomal RNA". The record is from RNAcentral. Lineage: Eukaryota; Viridiplantae; Streptophyta; Magnoliopsida; Poales; Poaceae.